This 440-nucleotide ribosomal RNA is filed under the name uncultured bacterium. Its description in RNAcentral is "partial 16S ribosomal RNA". It matches the Rfam family "Bacterial small subunit ribosomal RNA", at positions 355 to 811 of the family's 1533-position model. The record is from RNAcentral.
UGGGGAAUCUUAGACAAUGGGGGAAACCCUGAUCUAGCCAUGCCGCGUGAGCGAUGAAGGCCUUAGGGUUGUAAAGCUCUUUCAGCUGGGAAGAUAAUGACGGUACCAGCAGAAGAAGCCCCGGCUAACUCCGUGCCAGCAGCCGCGGUAAUACGGAGGGGGCUAGCGUUGUUCGGAAUUACUGGGCGUAAAGCGCACGUAGGCGGAUUAGUCAGUCAGAGGUGAAAUCCCAGGGCUCAACCCUGGAACUGCCUUUGAUACUGCUAGUCUUGAGGUCGAGAGAGGUGAGUGGAAUUCCCGAGUGUAGAGGUGAAAUUCGUAGAUAUUCGGAGGAACACCAGUGGCGAAGGCGGCUCACUGGCUCGAUACUGACGCUGAGGUGCGAAAGCGUGGGGNGCAAACAGGAUUAGAUACCCUGGUAGUCCACGCCGUAAACGAUG